CGAACGCUGGCGGCGUGCCUAAUACAUGCAAGUAGAACGCUGAAGAGAGGAGCUUGCUCUUCUUGGAUGAGUUGCGAACGGGUGAGUAACGCGUAGGUAACCUGCCUUGUAGCGGGGGAUAACUAUUGGAAACGAUAGCUAAUACCGCAUAACAAUGGAUGACACAUGUCAUUUAUUUGAAAGGGGCAAUUGCUCCACUACAAGAUGGACCUGCGUUGUAUUAGCUAGUAGGUGAGGUAAUGGCUCACCUAGGCGACGAUACAUAGCCGACCUGAGAGGGUGAUCGGCCACACUGGGACUGAGACACGGCCCAGACUCCUACGGGAGGCAGCAGUAGGGAAUCUUCGGCAAUGGGGGCAACCCUGACCGAGCAACGCCGCGUGAGUGAAGAAGGUUUUCGGAUCGUAAAGCUCUGUUGUAAGUCAAGAACGGGUGUGAGAGUGGAAAGUUCACACUGUGACGGUAGCUUACCAGAAAGGGACGGCUAACUACGUGCCAGCCAGCCGCGGUAAUACGUAGGUCCCGAGCGUUGUCCGGAUUUAUUGGGCGUAAAGCGAGCGCAGGCGGUUUGAUAAGUCUGAAGUUAAAGGCUGUGGCUCAACCAUAGUUCGCUUUGGAAACUGUCAAACUUGAGUGCAGAAGGGGAGAGUGGAAUUCCAUGUGUAGCGGUGAAAUGCGUAGAUAUAUGGAGGAACACCGGUGGCGAAAGCGGCUCUCUGGUCUGUAACUGACGCUGAGGCUCGAAAGCGUGGGGAGCGAACAGGAUUAGAUACCCUGGUAGUCCACGCCGUAAACGAUGAGUGCUAGGUGUUGGAUCCUUUCCGGGAUUCAGUGCCGCAGCUAACGCAUUAAGCACUCCGCCUGGGGAGUGCGACCGCAAGGUUGAAACUCAAAGGAAUUGACGGGGGCCCCCACAAGCGGUGGAGCAUGUGGUUUAAUUCGAAGCAACGCGAAGAACCUUACCAGGUCUUGACAUCCCGAUGCUAUUUCUAGAGAUAGAAAGUUACUUCGGUACAUCGGUGACAGGUGGUGCAUGGUUGUCGUCAGCUCGUGUCGUGAGAUGUUGGGUUAAGUCCCGCAACGAGCGCAACCCCUAUUGUUAGUUGCCAUCAUUCAGUUGGGCACUCUAGCGAGACUGCCGGUAAUAAACCGGAGGAAGGUGGGGAUGACGUCAAAUCAUCAUGCCCCUUAUGACCUGGGCUACACACGUGCUACAAUGGUUGGUACAACGAGUUGCGAGUCGGUGACGGCGAGCUAAUCUCUUAAAGCCAAUCUCAGUUCGGAUUGUAGGCUGCAACUCGCCUACAUGAAGUCGGAAUCGCUAGUAAUCGCGGAUCAGCACGCCGCGGUGAAUACGUUCCCGGGCCUUGUACACACCGCCCGUCACACCACGAGAGUUUGUAACACCCGAAGUCGGUGAGGUAACCUUUUGGAGCCAGCCGCCUAAGGUGGGACAGAUGAUUGGGG
This 1467-nucleotide ribosomal RNA is filed under the name uncultured organism. Its description in RNAcentral is "SSU rRNA". It matches the Rfam family "Bacterial small subunit ribosomal RNA". The record is from RNAcentral.